This 22-nucleotide small nuclear RNA is filed under the name Arabidopsis thaliana (thale cress). Its description in RNAcentral is "snRNA_11338". Lineage: Eukaryota; Viridiplantae; Streptophyta; Magnoliopsida; Brassicales; Brassicaceae. The record is from RNAcentral.
UCUGCUCUAGAAUAUUUAUAUC